This 440-nucleotide ribosomal RNA is filed under the name uncultured bacterium. RNAcentral's name for it is "partial 16S ribosomal RNA". It matches the Rfam family "Bacterial small subunit ribosomal RNA", at positions 338 to 795 of the family's 1533-position model. The record is from RNAcentral.
CCUACGGGGGGCAGCAGUAGGGAAUAUUGCUCAAUGGGGGAAACCCUGAAGCAGCAACGCCGCGUGGAGGAUGGAGGUUUUAGGAUUGUAAACUCCUUUUGUUAGAGAAGAUUAUGACGUUAUCUAACGAAUAAGCACCGGCUAACUCCGUGCCAGCAGCCGCGGUAAUACGGAGGGUGCAAGCUUUACUCGGAAUCACUGGGCGUAAGGAGUGCGUAGGUGGGGUAAAAAGUCAUAUGUGAAAUCCUGUAGCUUAAGUACAGAAGUGCAUUUGAAACUGUUUCUCUGGAGUGUGGGAGAGGUAGGAGGAAUGCGUGGUGUAGGGGUAAAAUCCGUAGAGAUCAAGAGGAAUACUCAUUGCGAAGGCGACCCGCUGGAACAUUACUGACGCUGAUGCACGAAAGCGUGGGGAGCAAACAGGAUUAGAUACCCUGGUAGUC